RNAcentral lists this ribosomal RNA (253 nucleotides) under uncultured bacterium. Its description in RNAcentral is "partial 16S ribosomal RNA". It matches the Rfam family "Archaeal small subunit ribosomal RNA", at positions 474 to 727 of the family's 1478-position model. The record is from RNAcentral.
UACCAGCACCCCGAGUGGUCGGGACGAUUAUUGGGCCUAAAGCAUCCGUAGCCGGUUCUACAAGUCUUCCGUUAAAUCCACCUGCUUAACAGAUGGGCUGCGGAGGAUACUAUGGAGCUAGGAGGCGGGAGAGGCAGGCGGUACUUAGUGGGUAGGGGUAAAAUCCGUUGAUCCAUUGAAGACCACCAGUGGCGAAGGCGGCUUGCCAGAACGCACUCGACGGUGAGGGAUGAAAGCUGGGGGAGCAAACCGG